This 463-nucleotide ribosomal RNA is filed under the name uncultured bacterium. RNAcentral describes it as "partial 16S ribosomal RNA". It matches the Rfam family "Bacterial small subunit ribosomal RNA", at positions 28 to 506 of the family's 1533-position model. The record is from RNAcentral.
GACGAACGCUGGCGGCGUGCUUAACACAUGCAAGUCGAACGAUGAACCGGUUUCGGCCGGGGAUUAGUGGCGAACGGGUGAGUAACACGUGGGCAAUCUGCCCUGCACUCUGGGAUAAGCCCGGGAAACUGGGUCUAAUACCGGAUACGACACUCCGAGGCAUCUUGGGGUGUGGAAAGUUCCGGCGGUGCAGGAUGAGCCCGCGGCCUAUCAGCUUGUUGGUGGGGUAAUGGCCUACCAAGGCGACGACGGGUAGCCGGCCUGAGAGGGUGACCGGCCACACUGGGACUGAGACACGGCCCAGACUCCUACGGGAGGCAGCAGUGGGGAAUAUUGCACAAUGGGCGAAAGCCUGAUGCAGCGACGCCGCGUGAGGGAUGACGGCCUUCGGGUUGUAAACCUCUUUCAGCAGGGAAGAAGCGAAAGUGACGGUACCUGCAGAAGAAGCACCGGCUAACUACGU